AUUGAACGCUGGCGGCAUGCCUUACACAUGCAAGUCGAACGGCAGCGCGGGGCAACCUGGCGGCGAGUGGCGAACGGGUGAGUAAUAUAUCGGAACAUACCCUAGAGUGGGGAUAACGUAGCGAAAGUUACGCUAAUACCGCAUACGCACUAAGGUGGAAAGUGGGGGAUUCGCAAGAACCUCAUGCUCAUGGAGUGGCCGAUAUCUGAUUAGCUAGUUGGUGAGGUAAAGGCUCACCAAGGCAACGAUCAGUAGCUGGUUUGAGAGAACGACCAGCCACACUGGAACUGAGACACGGUCCAGACUCCUACGGGAGGCAGCAGUGGGGAAUUUUGGACAAUGGGGGCGAACCCUGAUCCAGCAAUGCCGCGUGAGUGAAGAAGGCCUCGGUGUAAGACUCUUUGUCUAGGGAAGAAACGGUAGA
RNAcentral lists this ribosomal RNA (424 nucleotides) under uncultured bacterium. Its description in RNAcentral is "bacterial SSU rRNA". It matches the Rfam family "Bacterial small subunit ribosomal RNA", at positions 30 to 457 of the family's 1533-position model. The record is from RNAcentral.